RNAcentral lists this ribosomal RNA (507 nucleotides) under uncultured bacterium. RNAcentral describes it as "partial 16S ribosomal RNA". It matches the Rfam family "Bacterial small subunit ribosomal RNA", at positions 29 to 523 of the family's 1533-position model. The record is from RNAcentral.
AGUGAACGCUGGCGGUAGGCCUAACACAUGCAAGUCGAACGGCAGCACAGAGGAGCUUGCUCCUUGGGUGGCGAGUGGCGGACGGGUGAGGAAUACAUCGGAAUCUACUCUGUCGUGGGGGAUAACGUAGGGAAACUUACGCUAAUACCGCAUACGACCUACGGGUGAAAGCAGGGGACCUUCGGGCCUUGCGCGAUUGAAUGAGCCGAUGUCGGAUUAGACUAGUUGGCGUGGUAAGGGCCCACCAAGGCGACGAUCCGUAGCUGGUCUGAGAGGAUGAUCAGCCACACUGGAACUGAGACACGGUCCAGACUCCUACGGGAGGUAGCAGUGGGGAAUAUUGGACAAUGGGCGCAAGCCUGAUCCAGCCAUACCGCGUGGGUGAAGAAGGCCUUCGGGUUGUAAAGCCCUUUUGUUGGGAAAGAAAUCCAGCUGGCUAAUACCCGGUUGGGAUGACGGUACCCAAAGAAUAAGCACCGGCUAACUUCGUGCCAGCAGCCGCAGUAA